RNAcentral lists this unclassified non-coding RNA (352 nucleotides) under soil metagenome. RNAcentral's name for it is "partial contains 5.8S ribosomal RNA, internal transcribed spacer 2, and large subunit ribosomal RNA". The stretch from base 1 to 120 matches the Rfam family "5.8S ribosomal RNA", at positions 35 to 154 of the family's 154-position model. The record is from RNAcentral.
GACGAAGAACGCAGCGAAAUGCGAUAAGUAAUGUGAAUUGCAGAAUUCAGUGAAUCAUCGAAUCUUUGAACGCACAUUGCGCCCGCCAGUAUUCUGGCGGGCAUGCCUGUUCGAGCGUCAUUACAACCCUCAGGCCCCCGGGCCUGGCGUUGGGGAUCGGCGGAGCCCCCCGUGGGCACACGCCGUCCCCCAAAUACAGUGGCGGUCCCGCCGCAGCUUCCAUCGCGUAGUAGCUAACACCUCGCGACUGGAGAGCGGCGCGGCCACGCCGUAAAACACCCAACUCUUCUGAAGUUGACCUCGAAUCAGGUAGGAAUACCCGCUGAACUUAAGCAUAUCAAUAAGCGGAGGA